CUUGGUCAUUUUAUUUUUCUAGGCGGAGAAUUCAUAGUAGGGGACUUUUAGAGAGUAAAAGUGGCCUACCGUUUCGUUUACACAAGAGUCAAGAAAGCAUUGACAUUACAGGUUCGAAGAUGCAUACCAUUGGGGAAUCUGGAAUGGAGAGGCUUUUGUGACAUUAGUAUUAUUUAAGUUGUUUCUAGGAGUUUAUCUUUUCAGACAUUAGUUUUAAGUUGGUGUGUUUCAGUUCAAACAUUGUUUGGUUCUUAUUUCAUAAGUUUAAUAAAGUUGAUUUUGUUUUA
Beta vulgaris subsp. vulgaris (sugar beet) is the source of this 287-nucleotide long non-coding RNA. RefSeq lists it as uncharacterized. The record is from RefSeq and is a predicted model, not a curated record. Lineage: Eukaryota; Viridiplantae; Streptophyta; Magnoliopsida; Caryophyllales; Amaranthaceae. The transcript has 2 exons.